UUGAUGGCCUGAUCCCCUAUAAUGUUACACUCCUUUGGAAUUCUGUUCUUCAUGAGAGUUCCUGUACCUCCCAAGCAUUUCUCCAUCAUGGUGUCCAGGACAUUUGUAAAGAACCUGUCAAAAAACAGUGAAUACCUUCCUUCGUAAUUGAAAAUACAGAGAAAAAAAGAUUCUUCCAGUGAUCCCUACAGUACUGACUAGAUUUUCUUCAGCCAUGCCAUCCUAUAGCAUGUGUCCCUGGGUCCUGCUGUUAUCUGUGCUUAAGGUCAUAACCGGUAAGUUGACAGAAUGGCUUCUUUGUUUUCUAAAUGUUUCAGCUUGGUCCUAUUCUGUUGUAUUAUAAUCCAGUUUUAUAACUGUAUAUCUUUUGUGCUCAGCAUAGAAAACGGAGAACAUACCUGAGCAUAGAAAACAUUUAGUAAUUGGCAGAAUAUAA
Molecule: non-coding RNA, 436 nt
Organism: Electrophorus electricus (electric eel)
Lineage: Eukaryota; Metazoa; Chordata; Actinopteri; Gymnotiformes; Gymnotidae
Source: RefSeq, a predicted model, not a curated record